GUAGUCCACGCCGUAAACGGUGGGUACUAGGUGUGGGUUUCCUUCCUUGGGAUCCGUGCCGUAGCUAACGCAUUAAGUACCCCGCCUGGGGAGUACGGCCGCAAGGCUAAAACUCAAAGAAAUUGACGGGGGCCCGCACAAGCGGCGGAGCAUGUGGAUUAAUUCGAUGCAACGCGAAGAACCUUACCUGGGUUUGACAUGCACAGGACGUGCCUAGAGAUAGGUAUUCCCUUGUGGCCUGUGUGCAGGUGGUGCAUGGCUGUCGUCAGCUCGUGUCGUGAGAUGUUGGGUUAAGUCCCGCAACGAGCGCAACCCUUGUCUCAUGUUGCCAGCACGUCAUGGUGGGGACUCGUGAGAGACUGCCGGGGUCAACUCGGAGGAAGGUGGGGAUGACGUCAAGUCAUCAUGCCCCUUAUGUCCAGGGCUUCACACAUGCUACAAUGGCCGGUACAAAGGGCUGCGAUGCCGUGAGGUGGAGCGAAUCCUUUAAAGCCGGUCUCAGUUCGGAUCGGGGUCUGCAACUCGACCCCGUGAAGUCGGAGUCGCUAGUAAUCGCAGAUCAGCAACGCUGCGGUGAAUA
This 580-nucleotide ribosomal RNA is filed under the name uncultured Mycobacterium sp. Its description in RNAcentral is "bacterial SSU rRNA". It matches the Rfam family "Bacterial small subunit ribosomal RNA", at positions 790 to 1368 of the family's 1533-position model. The record is from RNAcentral. Lineage: Bacteria; Bacillati; Actinomycetota; Actinomycetes; Mycobacteriales; Mycobacteriaceae.